Molecule: long non-coding RNA, 1532 nt
Organism: Poecilia reticulata (guppy)
Lineage: Eukaryota; Metazoa; Chordata; Actinopteri; Cyprinodontiformes; Poeciliidae
Source: RefSeq, a predicted model, not a curated record
AAGAAAGAAAGAAAGAAAGAAAGAAAGAAAGAAAAAUGUAAAGAAACUUUCAAGCCGAAUAUGUGUCAGUGAGGUUGUAAAAUAACCGCGACCAUAAAUAAGUCUUCUUCUCUGUGUCUCUCUUUGUUUCCUCCACAGGCUGCGGCUUGUCCCCGUGGCCAAACUACAGACAGUCCGACUGAUAAAUCGACACAAAGACUCUAUUUUUUGCUUUUACUUUAGUCUCCCACCCAGUGCAUUCCCAAGAAGCCAAGUUCUUAUUAAAGACGCCAUUCAGAGAUGUCUGGGAAGCUCAAUGACUUCAGCCUAAUUUUCUUGUUUCUUGCUGGACCACUUGAAUUUGAACAUUUAAACCUUUAUUUUUAACUUACUUUUUACUUUUUUACCUCCACCUCCCCUCUCGUGGCCUCUUUCAAAGAAGAUGAACUCCCUCUCUCCCCGGCAGGACGCUCUGUUUCCUCCCCGCUUUUUGGGAACGGGAAGCAGCCAAAUUGUUUUGGAGCUGACUGGGGUCUAAUCAUUGAUAAGCAGCGACUCUUGGAACAGGACAGGGAUGGCCUGCAGUCGGGGGACAGACACAGGACGGUGUGUUGGACAGUCGGGGGCAAAAAGCAUCAAACGGCAGAGAAAAAGAGCUUUCUGCAAGCAGUUUGGAGCUUUUGGCACCAACACAGCACGUGUUUUCAGGAGCUCCAGCGGAAAUACUUUCAUCGUGCUGCCGUGUUCAUCGUGCUGCCUCUGAAUUGUCCUUCAGAUCGACGCAGAGCCGUUUAACUGUUAGCCCAGCAGCUUUUUCUUUACAAUAAAUUAUAUAUAAGUGAAGCAGCCUAAAUAUUAUGACUUUCAUAUUUUUGCUUUGUCACUGCUAUGAUCUUACCUUAACAAGCUGUAUCUAUUAUUAUUGUGGUUGUUGUUGUUGUGGAUGGGACUCAAACUGCAUUUUCCUUGGCUUACGAUUUACUUACACAUAUCCUCUUAAAAUGCAUCCUGAGAAACGUUCAACCAUAACAUGUUUUUGCAACAGGCCUUUUUCCUUGGUUUAGACUGGAACGUGUGCAAUAUUAAGAUAAUACAAACGCUUAAGUGUUUACAGUCUUGUCAAUGUAGACGCUUCUGGGUUAGUUGUACAUGCGUGGAAUUUCCGCAUAAUAUAUAACUCUGUCAUGCUUGUACUUUCUGAAAUGUAUCAAAGUAUUCAAGGAGGCUACGCACAUGUGGAAACUUUGAAGGCGGUCAGUGUGGGAAGCCGUCAAUAUUUAGCCUGUAGCGUGAAGCUGCUGUUCUUUGUGGAUCUACAUUUAGAGACAGACUGCUCUGGACUCCCAAGACUUCCAAGGAUGAUAAUAAGCCCAAACGUUUCAACUUUUUCAACGGAUAUACUUGUUAAGCUGGCUGUAUUUCUGCGCAGUAAAUCAGACGUGUGUGUCUGUGUUAACUUCAGUGUAAACAUCUGAGGACCGCUGAAGGAAGCCCAGGAAUGUGAGAAACUUCAGACAACAGUGACAAUUAAAGCUAAAAGAGUCGGACCUCUA